This 215-nucleotide long non-coding RNA is filed under the name Olea europaea (common olive). RNAcentral describes it as "long non-coding RNA (OEUR_LNC003377)". Lineage: Eukaryota; Viridiplantae; Streptophyta; Magnoliopsida; Lamiales; Oleaceae. The record is from RNAcentral.
GGGGACAAGGAUUAGAUCCAGGGCCUAGGUGGCGCAAUCUCAACCCUCGAUUUAAUCUUGGAAGAAAUAGCAAAAAUCCAUUAUUUAUACACCUUAUAUUAAUCUAACAAGUAUUUUUCUCACAUUAUUUUUUGUAAUGUUUAUACAUAAUUGUGUUUAUAAGAAUAAUUUGAAGUGAGCCACUCGAGGAGCAAGCUAUUAUAGCAAGCAGUUAG